RNAcentral lists this ribosomal RNA (120 nucleotides) under Sarcophilus harrisii (Tasmanian devil). The record is from RNAcentral. Lineage: Eukaryota; Metazoa; Chordata; Mammalia; Dasyuromorphia; Dasyuridae.
GUUAAUAGCCAUUCCAUACUGGACCUACCUAAUUUCACCUGACUUAGAAGCUAAGCAGGUUAAGGCCUGGCUAACACUUAGAGAAGAGAUUCUCUGGGAGUAAUAUGGGCUUUGUUGGGU